Molecule: transfer RNA, 66 nt
Filed under: Nomada goodeniana
Lineage: Eukaryota; Metazoa; Arthropoda; Insecta; Hymenoptera; Apidae
Description: tRNA-Trp
Source: RNAcentral
AAGAUUUUAAGUUAAUGAAACUUUUAAUUUUCAAAAUUAAUAAUAUAAUUUAAAUUAUAAAUCUUA